AGAGUUUGAUCCUGGCUCAGAAUCAACGCUGGCGGCGUGCCUAACACAUGCAAGUCGAACGCGAAAGCCCGCAAGGGUAAGUAGAGUGGCGCACGGGUGAGUAACACGUGGACAACCUGCCUUCGAGUGGGGAAUAACCUUCCGAAAGGAGGGCUAAUACCGCAUAACACCUUGGGACACAAGUUCUGGGGUUGAAAAGAGCAAUUUGCUCGAAGAGGGGUCCGCGCCUGAUUAGCUAGUUGGUGAGGUAACGGCUCACCAAGGCUUCGAUCAGUAGCCGUCCUGAGAGGGAGCACGGCCACACUGGAACUGAGACACGGUCCAGACUCCUACGGGAGGCAGCAGUGGGGAAUUUUUGGCAAUGGGCGAAAGCCUGACCAAGCAACGCCGCGUGGGUGAUGAAGUAUCUUGGUACGUAAAACCCUUUCGGCAGGGACGAACCUAAUGACGGUACCUGCGGAAGAAGCCCCGGCUAACUCCGUGCCAGCAGCCGCGGUAAUACGGGGGGGGCAAGCGUUGUUCGGAAUUACUGGGCGUAAAGGGCGCGUAGGCGGUUGGAUAAGUCAGCUGUGAAAACCACGGGCUUAACUCGUGGCCUGCAGUUGAGACUGUCUGGCUUGAGUGUGGGAGAGGAGAGUGGAAUUCCUGGUGUAGCGGUGAAAUGCGUAGAUAUCAGGAGGAACACCGGUGGCGAAGGCGGCUCUCUGGACCACAACUGACGCUGAGGCGCGAAAGCUAGGGGAGCAAACAGGAUUAGAUACCCUGGUAGUCCUAGCUGUAAACGAUGGAUACUUGCUGUG
Molecule: ribosomal RNA, 800 nt
Filed under: uncultured bacterium
Lineage: Bacteria
Description: bacterial SSU rRNA
Rfam family: Bacterial small subunit ribosomal RNA
Source: RNAcentral